RNAcentral lists this ribosomal RNA (1332 nucleotides) under uncultured bacterium. Its description in RNAcentral is "bacterial SSU rRNA". It matches the Rfam family "Bacterial small subunit ribosomal RNA", at positions 28 to 1381 of the family's 1533-position model. The record is from RNAcentral.
GACGAACGCUGGCGGCGCGCCUAACACAUGCAAGUCGAACGAGAGAUGAGGAGCUUGCUCUUCAAAUCGAGUGGCGAACGGGUGAGUAACGCGUGAGGAACCUGCCUCAAAGAGGGGGACAACAGUUGGAAACGACUGCUAAUACCGCAUAAGCCCACAGCUCGGCAUCGAGCAGAGGGAAAAGGAGCAAUCCGCUUUGAGAUGGCCUCGCGUCCGAUUAGCUAGUUGGUGAGGUAACGGCCCACCAAGGCGACGAUCGGUAGCCGGACUGAGAGGUUGAACGGCCACAUUGGGACUGAGACACGGCCCAGACUCCUACGGGAGGCAGCAGUGGGGAAUAUUGCACAAUGGGGGAAACCCUGAUGCAGCGACGCCGCGUGGAGGAAGAAGGUCUUCGGAUUGUAAACUCCUGUUGUUGAGGAAGAUAAUGACGGUACUCAACAAGGAAGUGACGGCUAACUACGUGCCAGCAGCCGCGGUAAAACGUAGGUCACAAGCGUUGUCCGGAAUUACUGGGUGUAAAGGGAGCGCAGGCGGGAGAACAAGUUGGAAGUGAAAUCCAUGGGCUCAACCCAUGAACUGCUUUCAAAACUGUUUUUCUUGAGUAGUGCAGAGGUAGGCGGAAUUCCCGGUGUAGCGGUGGAAUGCGUAGAUAUCGGGAGGAACACCAGUGGCGAAGGCGGCCUACUGGGCACCAACUGACGCUGAGGCUCGAAAGUGUGGGUAGCAAACAGGAUUAGAUACCCUGGUAGUCCACACCGUAAACGAUGAUUACUAGGUGUUGGAGGAUUGACCCCUUCAGUGCCGCAGUUAACACAAUAAGUAAUCCACCUGGGGAGUACGACCGCAAGGUUGAAACUCAAAGGAAUUGACGGGGGCCCGCACAAGCAGUGGAGUAUGUGGUUUAAUUCGACGCAACGCGAAGAACCUUACCAAGUCUUGACAUCCCUUGACGAUGCUGGAAACAGUAUUUCUCUUCGGAGCAAGGAGACAGGUGGUGCAUGGUUGUCGUCAGCUCGUGUCGUGAGAUGUUGGGUUAAGUCCCGCAACGAGCGCAACCCUUAUGGUCAGUUACUACGCAAGAGGACUCUGGCCAGACUGCCGUUGACAAAACGGAGGAAGGUGGGGAUGACGUCAAAUCAUCAUGCCCUUUAUGACUUGGGCUACACACGUACUACGAUGGCGUUAAACAAAGAGAAGCAAGACCGCGAGGUGGAGCGAAACUCAGAAACAACGUCCCGGUUCGGACUGCAGGCUGCAACUCGCCUGCACGAAGUCGGAAUUGCUAGUAAUCGUGGUUCGGCGUGCCACGGUGAAUACGUUCCCGGGCCU